GGGCUUGUAGCUCAAUGGCAGAGCAGUCGGCUCAUAACCGACCGGUUCCAGGUUCGAAUCCUGGCGGGCCCA
This 72-nucleotide transfer RNA is filed under the name Anaerolineaceae bacterium. RNAcentral describes it as "tRNA-Met". It matches the Rfam family "tRNA". From Rfam's summary of the family: Transfer RNA (tRNA) molecules are approximately 80 nucleotides in length. Their secondary structure includes four short double-helical elements and three loops (D, anti-codon, and T loops). Further hydrogen bonds mediate the characteristic L-shaped molecular structure. tRNAs have two regions of fundamental functional importance: the anti-codon, which is responsible for specific mRNA codon recognition, and the 3' end, to which the tRNAs corresponding amino acid is attached (by aminoacyl-tRNA synthetases). tRNAs cope with the degeneracy of the genetic code in two manners: having more than one tRNA (with a specific anti-codon) for a particular amino acid; and 'wobble' base-pairing, i.e. permitting non-standard base-pairing at the 3rd anti-codon position. The record is from RNAcentral. RNAcentral also lists the same sequence under 1 other name. Lineage: Bacteria; Bacillati; Chloroflexota; Anaerolineae; Anaerolineales; Anaerolineaceae.